CCAGACUCCUACGGGAGGCAGCAGUAGGGAAUCUUCGGCAAUGGACGAAAGUCUGACCGAGCAACGCCGCGUGAGUGAAGAAGGUUUUCGGAUCGUAAAACUCUGUUGGUAGAGAAGAACGUUGGUGAGAGUGGAAAGCUCAUCAAGUGACGGUAACUACCCAGAAAGGGACGGCUAACUACGUGCCAGCAGCCGCGGUAAUACGUAGGUCCCGAGCGUUGUCCGGAUUUAUUGGGCGUAAAGCGAGCGCAGGUGGUUUAUUAAGUCUGGUGUAAAAGGCAGUGGCUCAACCAUUGUAUGCAUUGGAAACUGGUAGACUUGAGUGCAGGAGAGGAGAGUGGAAUUCCAUGUGUAGCGGUGAAAUGCGUAGAUAUAUGGAGGAACACCGGUGGCGAAAGCGGCUCUCUGGCCUGUAACUGA
RNAcentral lists this ribosomal RNA (420 nucleotides) under uncultured bacterium. RNAcentral describes it as "bacterial SSU rRNA". It matches the Rfam family "Bacterial small subunit ribosomal RNA", at positions 331 to 743 of the family's 1533-position model. The record is from RNAcentral.